GAUUCAUGACUGGGGUGAAGUCGUAACAAGGUAACCGUAGGGGAACCUGCGGUUGGAUCACCUCCUUACCUGAAAGAAGC
This 80-nucleotide ribosomal RNA is filed under the name Salmonella enterica subsp. enterica serovar Typhimurium str. SL1344. Its description in RNAcentral is "partial 16S ribosomal RNA". The stretch from base 1 to 68 matches the Rfam family "Bacterial small subunit ribosomal RNA", at positions 1466 to 1533 of the family's 1533-position model. Lineage: Bacteria; Pseudomonadati; Pseudomonadota; Gammaproteobacteria; Enterobacterales; Enterobacteriaceae. The record is from RNAcentral.